UGGCGAACGGGUGAGUAACACGUGAGCAACCUACCCUUCACUCUGGGAUAACUCCGGGAAACCGGUGCUAAUACCGGAUACGAGUGCCGACCUCAUGGUCUGGUGCUGGAAAGACUUUUGGUGAGGGAUGGGCUCGCGGCCUAUCAGCUUGUUGGUGAGGUAAUGGCUCACCAAGGCGACGACGGGUAGCCGGCCUGAGAGGGCGAUCGGCCACACUGGGACUGAGACACGGCCCAGACUCCUACGGGAGGCAGCAGUGGGGAAUAUUGCACAAUGGGCGCAAGCCUGAUGCAGCAACGCCGCGUGAGGGACGAAGGCCUUCGGGUUGUAAACCUCUUUUAGUAGGGAAGAAGCGACUGGGUUUUCCUGGGAGUGACGGUACCUGCAGAAAAAGCACCGGCUAACUACGUGCCAGCAGCCGCGGUAAUACGUAGGGUGCAAGCGUUGUCCGGAAUUAUUGGGCGUAAAGAGCUCGUAGGCGGUUUGUCGCGUCUGCUGUGAAAACCCGAGGCUCAACCUCGGGCCUGCAGUGGGUAC
Molecule: ribosomal RNA, 537 nt
Filed under: uncultured Cryobacterium sp.
Lineage: Bacteria; Bacillati; Actinomycetota; Actinomycetes; Micrococcales; Microbacteriaceae
Description: bacterial SSU rRNA
Rfam family: Bacterial small subunit ribosomal RNA
Source: RNAcentral